RNAcentral lists this ribosomal RNA (321 nucleotides) under uncultured Pseudomonadota bacterium. RNAcentral describes it as "bacterial SSU rRNA". It matches the Rfam family "Bacterial small subunit ribosomal RNA", at positions 29 to 351 of the family's 1533-position model. Lineage: Bacteria; Pseudomonadati; Pseudomonadota. The record is from RNAcentral.
AUUGAACGCUGGCGGCAUGCCUUACACAUGCAAGUCGAACGGCAGCACGGGGGCAACCCUGGUGGCGAGUGGCGAACGGGUGAGUAAUACAUCGGAACGUGUCCUGUCGUGGGGGAUAACCAGUCGAAAGACUGGCUAAUACCGCAUGAGAUCGAGAGAUGAAAGCAGGGGACCGCAAGGCCUUGCGCGAUUGGAGCGGCCGAUGUCGGAUUAGCUAGUUGGCGGGGUAAAAGCCCACCAAGGCGACGAUCCGUAGCUGGUUUGAGAGAACGACCAGCCACACUGGGACUGAGACACGGCCCAGACUCCUACGGGUGGCAG